AACGAACGCUGGCGGCAGGCUUAACACAUGCAAGUCGAACGCGUGUAGCAAUACACGAGUGGCGCACGGGUGAGUAACGCGUGGAUAUCUGCCUUUUGGUUCGGAAUAACUCCGGGAAACUGGAGCUAAUACCGGAUGGUUCCUUCGGGAUAAAGAUUUAUCGCCAAAAGAUGAGUCCGCGUACGAUUAGCUAGUUGGUGAGGUAAUGGCUCACCAAGGCGACGAUCGUUAGCUGGUCUGAGAGGACGAUCAGCCACACUGGGACUGAGACACGGCCCAGACUCCUACGGGAGGCAGCAGUGGGGAAUAUUGGACAAUGGGGGCAACCCUGAUCCAGCCAUGCCGCGUGCGUGAUGAAGGCCUUCGGGUUGUAAAGCUCUUUUGGCGGGGACGAUGAUGACGGUACCCGCAGAAUAAGCCCCGGCUAACUUCGUGCCAGCAGCCGCCGCGG
This 451-nucleotide ribosomal RNA is filed under the name uncultured bacterium. RNAcentral describes it as "partial 16S ribosomal RNA". It matches the Rfam family "Bacterial small subunit ribosomal RNA", at positions 29 to 523 of the family's 1533-position model. The record is from RNAcentral.